Ixodes scapularis (black-legged tick) is the source of this 263-nucleotide long non-coding RNA. RefSeq lists it as uncharacterized. The record is from RefSeq and is a predicted model, not a curated record. Lineage: Eukaryota; Metazoa; Arthropoda; Arachnida; Ixodida; Ixodidae. The transcript has 3 exons.
UGCUCGAGCCAUGGUUUCCUGAAACACCAACAGUGUUCGGGAACGCCAUGUCAUGCUGCACCGACGGACAAGCAGCCUCCCGCACUGACUGAUUGCGGCCAGGUUGACUGCUCGAGCCAUGGUUCCCUGAAACACCAACAGUGUUCGGGAACGCCAUGUCAUGCUGCACCGACGGACAAGCAGCCUCCCGCACUGACUGAUUGCGGCCAGGUUGACUGCUCGAGCCGUGAUUCCCUGAAAUACCAACAGUGUUCGGGAACGCC